This 497-nucleotide ribosomal RNA is filed under the name uncultured bacterium. Its description in RNAcentral is "partial 16S ribosomal RNA". It matches the Rfam family "Bacterial small subunit ribosomal RNA", at positions 28 to 507 of the family's 1533-position model. The record is from RNAcentral.
GAUGAACGCUGGCGGCGUGCCUAAUACAUGCAAGUCGAGCGAACAGACGAGGAGCUUGCUCCUCUGACGUUAGCGGCGGACGGGUGAGUAACACGUGGAUAACCUACCUAUAAGACUGGGAUAACUUCGGGAAACCGGAGCUAAUACCGGAUAAUAUAUUGAACCGCAUGGUUCAAUAGUGAAAGACGGUUUUGCUGUCACUUAUAGAUGGAUCCGCGCCGCAUUAGCUAGUUGGUAAGGUAACGGCUUACCAAGGCAACGAUGCGUAGCCGACCUGAGAGUGUGAUCUGCCACACUGGAACUGAGACAAGGUCCAGACUCCUACGGGAGGCAGCAGUAGGGAAUCUUCCGCAAUGGGCGAAAGCUUGACGGAGCAACGCCGCGUGAGUGAUGAAGGUCUUCGGAUCGUAAAACUCUGUUAUUAGGGAAGAACAAAUGUGUAAGUAACUAUGCACGUCUUGACGGUACCUAAUCAGAAAGCCACGGCUAACUACGUG